RNAcentral lists this ribosomal RNA (1441 nucleotides) under Coconut lethal yellowing phytoplasma. RNAcentral describes it as "16S ribosomal RNA". It matches the Rfam family "Bacterial small subunit ribosomal RNA". The record is from RNAcentral. Lineage: Bacteria; Bacillati; Mycoplasmatota; Mollicutes; Acholeplasmatales; Acholeplasmataceae.
AACGGGUGAGUAACACGUAAGCAACCUGCCUUUAAGACGAGAAUAACAAUUGGAAACAGUUGCUAAGGCUGGAUAGGAAAUAAAAAGGCAUCUUUUUAUUUUUAAAAGACCUUUUUCGGAAGGUAUGCUUAAAGAGGGGCUUGCGUCACAUUAGUUAGUUGGUAGGGUAAAGGCCUACCAAGACGAUGAUGUGUAGCUGGACUGAGAGGUUGAACAGCCACAUUGGGACUGAGACACGGCCCAAACUCCUACGGGAGGCAGCAGUAGGGAAUUUUCGGCAAUGGAGGAAACUCUGACCGAGCAACGCCGCGUGAACGACGAAGUACUUCGGUAUGUAAAGUUCUUUUAUUGAAGAAGAAACAAUAGUGGAAAAACUAUCUUGACGUUAUUCAAUGAAUAAGCCCCGGCUAACUAUGUGCCAGCAGCCGCGGUAAUACAUAGGGGGCGAGCGUUAUCCGGAAUUAUUGGGCGUAAAGGGUGCGUAGGCGGUUUAAUAAGUCUCUAGUUUAAUUUCAACGCUUAACGUUGUCCUGCUAGAGAAACUGUUUAACUAGAGUGAGAUAGAGGUAAGCGGAAUUCCAUGUGUAGCGGUAAAAUGUGUAAAUAUAUGGAGGAACACCAGAGGCGUAGGCGGCUUACUGGGUCUUUACUGACGCUGAUGCACGAAAGCGUGGGGAGCAAACAGGAUUAGAUACCCUGGUAGUCCACGCCGUAAACUAUGAGUACUAAGUGUCGGGGUUAAACUCGGUACUGAAGUUAACACAUUAAGUACUCCGCCUGAGUAGUACGUACGCAAGUAUGAAACUUAAAGGAAUUGACGGGAUCCCGCACAAGCGGUGGAUCAUGUUGUUUAAUUCGAAGAUACACGAAAAACCUUACCAGGUCUUGACAUACUCUGCAAAGCUAUAGAAAUAUAGUGGAGGUUAUCAGGGAUACAGGUGGUGCAUGGUUGUCGUCAGCUCGUGUCGUGAGAUGUUAGGUUAAGUUCUAAAACGAGCGCAACCCCUGUCGUUAAUUGCCAGCACGUUAUGGUGGGGACUUUAGCGAGACUGCCAAUGAAAAAUUGGAGGAAGGUGGGGAUUACGUCAAAUCAUCAUGCCCCUUAUGAUCUGGGCUACAAACGUGAUACAAUGGCUAUUACAAAGAGUAGCUGAAACGCGAGUUUUUGGCAAAUCUCAAAAAAAUAGUCUCAGUUCGGAUUGAAGUCUGCAACUCGACUUCAUGAAGUUGGAAUCGCUAGUAAUCGCGAAUCAGCAUGUCGCGGUGAAUACGUUCUCGGGGUUUGUACACACCGCCCGUCAAACCACGAAAGUGGACAAUACCCGAAAGCGACAGCCUAACUGCGUAAGCAGAGGGAAUCGUCUAAGGUAGGGUCGAUGAUUGGGGUUAAGUCGUAACAAGGUAUCCCUACCGGAAGGUGGGGAUGGAUCACCUCCUUUCU